AAGGCCCUUCGGGGUACUCGAGCGGCGAACGGGUGAGUAACACGUGAGCAACCUGCCCCAGGCUUUGGGAUAACCCCGGGAAACCGGGGCUAAUACCGAAUAUUACCUUGCGCCGCAUGGUGUUGGGUGGAAAGUUUUUCGGCUUGGGAUGGGCUCGCGGCCUAUCAGCUUGUUGGUGGGGUGAUGGCCUACCAAGGCGACGACGGGUAGCCGGCCUGAGAGGGCGACCGGCCACACUGGGACUGAGACACGGCCCAGACUCCUACGGGAGGCAGCAGUGGGGAAUAUUGCACAAUGGGCGGAAGCCUGAUGCAGCGACGCCGCGUGAGGGAUGACGGCCUUCGGGUUGUAAACCUCUUUCAGCAGGGACGAAGCGUAAGUGACGGUACCUGCAGAAGAAGCGCCGGCCAACUACGUGCCAGCAGCCGCGGUAAGACGUAGGGCGCGAGCGUUGUCCGGAUUUAUUGGGCGUAAAGAGCUCGUAGGCGGCUUGUCGCGUCGACUGUGAAAACCCGCAGCUCAACUGCGGGCCUGCAGUCGAUACGGGCAGGCUAGAGUUCGGUAGGGGAGACUGGAAUUCCUGGUGUAGCGGUGAAAUGCGCAGAUAUCAGGAGGAACACCGGUGGCGAAGGCGGGUCUCUGGGCCGAUACUGACGCUGAGGAGCGAAAGCGUGGGGAG
Molecule: ribosomal RNA, 679 nt
Filed under: Micromonospora sp. I11A-02710
Lineage: Bacteria; Bacillati; Actinomycetota; Actinomycetes; Micromonosporales; Micromonosporaceae
Description: bacterial SSU rRNA
Rfam family: Bacterial small subunit ribosomal RNA
Source: RNAcentral